AACGAACGCUGGCGGCAUGCCUAACACAUGCAAGUCGAACGAGACCUUCGGGUCUAGUGGCGGACGGGUGCGUAACGCGGGGGAAACUGCCCUUAGGUUCGGAAUAACUCCCCGAAAGGGGUGCUAAUACCGGAUAAUGUCUUCGGACCAAAGAUUUAUCGCCUUUGGAUGGGCCCGGGUUGGAUUAGCUAGUUGGUAGGGUAAAAGCCUACCAAGGCGACGAUCCAUAGCUGGUCUGAGAGGAUGAUCAGCCACACUGGGGCUGAGACACGGCCCAGACUCCUACGGGAGGCAGCAGUGGGGAAUAUUGGACAAUGGGCGAAGGCCUGAUCCAGCAAUGCCGCGUGAGUGAUGAAGGCCUUAGGGUUGUAAAGCUCUUUUACCCGGGAUGAUAAUGACGGUACCGGGAGAAUAAGCUCCGGCUAACUCCGUG
This 433-nucleotide ribosomal RNA is filed under the name uncultured bacterium. RNAcentral's name for it is "partial 16S ribosomal RNA". It matches the Rfam family "Bacterial small subunit ribosomal RNA", at positions 29 to 507 of the family's 1533-position model. The record is from RNAcentral.